Molecule: ribosomal RNA, 468 nt
Filed under: uncultured bacterium
Lineage: Bacteria
Description: partial 16S ribosomal RNA
Rfam family: Bacterial small subunit ribosomal RNA
Source: RNAcentral
GACGAACGCUGGCGGCGUGCUUAACACAUGCAAGUCGAACGGAAAGGCCCUGCUUUUGUGGGGUGCUCGAGUGGCGAACGGGUGAGUAACACGUGAGUAACCUGUCCUUGACUUUGGGAUAACUUCAGGAAACUGGGGCUAAUACCGGAUAGGAGCUCCUGCUCCAUGGUGUGGGUUGGAAAGAUUCGGCGGUUGGGGCUGGACUCGCGGCUUAUCAGCUUGUUGGUGUGGUAGUGGCUUACCAAGGCUUUGACGGGUAGCCGGCCUGAGAGGGUGACCGGCCACAUUGGGACUGAGAGACGGCCCAGACUCCGACGGGAGGCAGCAGGGGGGAAUAUUGCACAAUGGGCGGAAGCCUGAUGCAGCAACGCCGCGUGCGGGAUGACGGCCUUCGGGGUGUAAACCGCUUUCGCAUGUGACGAAGCGUGAGUGACGGUAAUGGGUAAAGAAGCACCGGCUAACUACGUG